UCCCCGUUACCGGGGCAGUCUAGCCAGAGAAAUUCAACUGGCUACAAGGGUUGCGCUCGUUAAAGGACUUAACCUAACAUCUCACGACACGAGCUGACGACGGCCAUGCAUCACCUGUCACUACGGCCCGAAGGCACUCACUCCUUUCGGAGUAAUUAGUAGGAUGUCAAACCCUGGUAAGGUUCUUCGCUUAUCCUCGAAUUAAACAACACGCUCCACCGCUUGUGCGGGUCCCCGUCAAUUCCUUUAUGUUUUAGCCUUGCGGCCGUACUCCACAGGCGGGAUGCUUAACGCGUUAGCUUCGCUACAAGAAGGGUCGAUACUCCUUACAGCUAGCAUCCAUCGUUUACGGCGUGGACUAC
This 362-nucleotide unclassified non-coding RNA is filed under the name uncultured bacterium. Its description in RNAcentral is "contains 16S-23S intergenic spacer region". The record is from RNAcentral.